RNAcentral lists this ribosomal RNA (478 nucleotides) under uncultured bacterium. RNAcentral's name for it is "partial 16S ribosomal RNA". It matches the Rfam family "Bacterial small subunit ribosomal RNA", at positions 28 to 507 of the family's 1533-position model. The record is from RNAcentral.
GACGAACGCUGGCGGCGUGCUUAACACAUGCAAGUCGAACGGGCUGCCUGGUUUUCGGAUCGGGUGGUGAGUGGCGAACGGGUGAGUAACACGUGAGUAACCUGCCCCUCUCUUUGGGAUAACGUCGGGAAAUCGGCGCUAAUACCGGGUAUUCUGGCUUCCUCGCAUGGGGUUGUUGGGAAAGGUUUUUUCUGGUGGGGGAUGGGCUCGCGGCCUAUCAGCUUGUUGGUGGGGUGAUGGCCUACCGAGGCGGUGACGGGUAGCCGGCCUGAGAGGGUGUCCGGCCACACUGGGACUGAGACACGGCCCAGACUCCUACGGGAGGCAGCAGUGGGGAAUAUUGCACAAUGGGCGGAAGCCUGAUGCAGCGACGCCGCGUGGGGGAUGACGGCCUUCGGGUUGUAAACCUCUUUCAGUGCAGAACAAGGCUCUUUGUGGGUUGAGGGUAUGCGCAGAAGAAGCGCCGGCUAACUACGUG